UCUACGGGUGGCUGCAGUGGGGGAUAUUGCACUAUGGGGGGAACCCUGAUGCAGCGACGCCGCGCGGGUGAAGGAGCGUUUCGGCGCGUAAAGCCCUAUCGGCAGGGAAGAAGAUGACGGUACCUGACCAAGAAGCCCCGGCUAAAUACGUGCCAGCAGCCGCGGUAAUACGUGGGGGGCAAGCGUUAUCCGGAUUUACUGGGUGUAAAGGGGGCGCAGACGGCAAUGCAAGCCAGGAGUGAAAGCCCGGGGCCCAACCCCGGGACUGCUGUUGAAACUGCAUGGCUGGAGUACAGGAGGGGCAGGCGGAAUUCGUGGUGUAGCGGUGAAAUGCGUAGAUAUUAGGAGGAACGCCGGUGGCGAAGGCGGCCUGCUGGACUGUGACUGACGUUGAGGCCCGAAGGCGUGGGGAGCGAACAGGAUUAGAUACCCUUGUAGUC
Molecule: ribosomal RNA, 440 nt
Filed under: uncultured bacterium
Lineage: Bacteria
Description: partial 16S ribosomal RNA
Rfam family: Bacterial small subunit ribosomal RNA
Source: RNAcentral